GCAAUGCACACUCACGGAAACCAGCCUGGGCCCGCAUGGACAAGCCAAGAUGGCCGCCACGUCUAUCGUAAGAUGGAGUGUAGCGGCCGCACACCCUGAGCAGCGGUUGUGUGCACCUCUGAGGGUCGCACAAUGGCGAUGAUGGCAGGCAGCGCAACCUCUCCGUUCCCCCUGACCACCGGCAACAGAGGGUGACAGCUCAUCACUCAAGCUGGGAGACAUCUCAGCUCAUUGACAGGAGCACUGUCCACACCACACAAGGCUUCACCCUCCACAGUUUAUGACCGCACUGGUGGAUAUAUG
This is a non-coding RNA of Pelobates cultripes (western spadefoot toad), 303 nucleotides long. NCBI's taxonomy places the organism in Eukaryota, Metazoa, Chordata, Amphibia, Anura, Pelobatidae. The record is from the annotation of a GenBank genome assembly.